This 3452-nucleotide unclassified non-coding RNA is filed under the name Hevea brasiliensis (rubber tree). Lineage: Eukaryota; Viridiplantae; Streptophyta; Magnoliopsida; Malpighiales; Euphorbiaceae. The record is from RNAcentral.
GAGAACUACAACCUCCCCUGAUAAGGCCACAAGAUUUUAUUUAGGUAAUAAGGAUCACACUAUUCCGAUGAGAUUCUUAUUCCUUAGAAAAAAGGUCAGGACUCCCCAAAAUAAAUUAUCACAUAGUCCCUGAAUUUUGACAUUAUUAACUCUUUAAUCUCUAUAUUACUUUAGUCCAUCCAUACACUUCAAAUACAUUUAACCAUUAGUUAGAAUAGAAAAGACUUGAUCUAUUUUUUAAAAUAAAAAUACAGAGACUUAAGUAAUUAAUAAUAUCAAAACUCAUGGACCAUAUAAUAAUUUACCGUUUAGAAAAUUAACCAUGUUGAGUUCGCAUGCAUAUCUGCAUUACAAAAUCGCACUAUGGCGACACAACAUCAGCAAUGCAGUGUUACAAAUUGAUACCGAAAGAACCCUGAAAAACUUUCAAAAUUCAUGGAUUAACACCUGCAGCAGAUCCAACAAUUCACACCAGUAAUUCAAUCCAAUCCCAACCUAGCAGGUAGCAGAAAUGGAUACUAAUAUGGUCACCUCUGGGCCCCAGGUUUUUAGUAUGGAUAACCAGAAGUGCAUUCCGUGUCCUUCCAGGAUAUCAUCUUCCUGCGAUCCCUUCCUCUAAAUGAUCUGGCAAGAAGCCUACCACUAACAGGCUUACACAUGCCAACAUCAACCACAGAAGUACUCCUUUUUUCACAUGGAGAUGCAUCAUCCAUUAAAUAGUCAAACAACAUUGCUAGAUAGCCCACCUGAUGAGAUAAGAUAUAGUUUUCUUGAUCCAAAGGUAGCAUCCUUAGCAUGAAAAGAUUGACCUCUGCUUCCAUGGCACGGAGUUCAUUGCACCAUUCAGAGCCAUCACUCUCAACAUGAUUUUCUCCACUAGAGCUAAGACUCACAGCAAAAAGAGGAGGCCUAAGAGGAUACUCCAUGCUGAUUUUAAUCUUUGCUUCUAACUUAAUAUUCCUCCUUGUUAAGACAAGAGAAUAUUCUUUAACCCCAUAAUCCACCCAUGGGUUUUCGACUAUCUUAUGGCAAGCUUCAUUUUCUGCUUCUAGCUCGAGUGGUGCAAGCUCAUCCAGAUCACUAUCAAUGUCCAGCAACAUAUCGGAAUCCUCAUCAUGUUUCUUGAAACUUAGUGAUUUCGUCUUAUUAAUAGGGGAUAUAAUACUCUUUGAAAUUAAAGCCAGCUGCCUGCUAUGCUCUAGAUUAGAUAUUUUUGAAGGAGUAAGCUUAACAUCAUUCACAAUAGAAGCAACCAAGGAUGGAAGCUCUCCAUCUUCCCUAGCACUCUCUGACUCUUCCUUUGAAGUACGAGAUCUUCGGUCCACAUCAGCAUCCAUGGGUUCCUGAACUUGAUCUGUGUCAAUGACAGGCACAGAUGAAGUCUGAUUGGGUGGGGGCCCAGCAGGUGACCAACCAUUCAAAUUGCAUAAGGGAGUAUGUAAAGCCCAUGGAACAUUUUCACAAUUCAAACAAGGCCAUUUAAGCUUCACAAGUGAAUCAAGCUGUUCCCUGUAAACCAAUGAAAGAAUUCCAAAUUUUCAACAUAAAACAUACCUUUUCACAAGAAUAAACAAGACAUAAGGGAGCUUCCAAAAUGAACAUUAAUAAAAGAUCUCGAUUAAUAAGCCAAAAGAGACAAAAACAAGUCAUAAGAAAGUAGAGAAGAUUGGAACUACAAAAGAUUCAUAACAUUAACCACUUCAUAUAAGAUAAAAGAUGCCAACUGCAGUACUAGCCAAGUGAACAAAGCCGUAAAAGCUAAUAUUAGAUUUGAUCACAUUGUUGCAUCUACCCCCUACUAAAUUGGCUAAUCUUCUGCUAAUGGUCCAUGACUCCAAAGAUACAGAAGUGACUCACACAAGAGCCAGCUGAGCCCUUUUCCGAGAACGAAUUCUUUGCACGACAGUUUGCACCCGAUUUUGUUGACGAUAUAGCGAUAAACCAGAUACAAUAACUUCAUUUUUUGUUGCUUCACUGUUUGCAGUUUCAUGGCCACUAAGCAAUGGCGCAAUCUCAGGUAAGAAAUCAAUCCCUGCCAAAUGCUGCGCCCACUUAUAAGGACGUGAAGUUCUAGUUUCAUCAAAUGCAGGGGGAUCUCCAACAAAGAGCUUAGCUGACUGAUGAGGAAGCUCAACACCAGUGUCAUCAGGAAAUAAGUUGCAUAAGAUGUUAUUCUCAGGUCCUUCAUGAGAUCCCUCAACCCCAACACAAACAAUAUUCAACUUGAACAAGUAUUCAAACUUCAAAGUGAUAAGCUUUGCAGAUUUUGGAUCGGAAACCUCAUCAUCAUAUACAUGGAGUAUGAUCUUAAGUGGAUGAACUUGCAAUACUCCUACAUGGUCCAGACUCUCCUUGCUUGGAACCCUCUUUGGCCGUUUUCUCCUUCUCUGGCCAUCAUCUUCCUCGUCAGGUGCAUCAUCCUCCAACCUGGAACUCUCUACAGUGGAAGAUAUGCCUGUAUCUUUAUUUGCCUGCUGACGGGCAAAAGCUUGAGCAUCUUUCAGACUCCCCACAAUCUCCAGAUCAAUAUGUUCUCCAAAGGCUUCCUUUUGUGCCAGGAACUGUGUGUAAAUCACAUAAAGAGGAGGAGGAAGUAACUCUGCUGAGUUUUGCUGCUUUAAUUUCUUUGUAUGCAGAACCCCUAAUUGGUUCUGUACAGGCAAGGAUGCCUUCUUGAGUGAUUUGAGGUGUGAGGGGAGACUUGAUAAGAACUUCUUCCGGUUUGCAAUGGUCUCCAACAAACUUUUCUUACGUUGUUCCAGUUUCUCAUGAAGUUUGCACAGUUCCUUGCGCUGGUGCAGCUCAUAAUUGAGCCUCUUGAGCAUCAAAUUAUGUGAAGUAUCGUCAGACAAAACAGGACCUUUGAUAUUUUCAGGCGCAUCACGGAAAAAUUCUUCUUCCGGAACAAGCUCAAUAUCAGGAUAUUUAGACUUGAAAUCUUUACAAGCUUUUAUAGCUUUAACAUAGUGGCUCUUCUCAUACAUCAAAUUAUGAAGCUGCAAAGUCGUGAAAUCCACCGGCGCCUUUGCACGUUCCGUCUCCGCUUUCACUCUAUCCUCUUCCAAUAGAAUCGAGCGGUUCGCCUGGCGGAGAGUGACGAAGUGGAGAAAAAUUUGGGUGACGAGUUCGCGGAGCUCCGAUUUAGGCUUGUUUUCUUUCUUUAUGGUGAGAAUCUGGGCUACGAUUUCCUCCACUGAGACUUUGCCUUCUCGCAGCAUUUCGUAGGGUGACUUCCCAUUCUUAGGCUGCGUUGUUAACUGUGCAUCCUCUUCCAUCGCCACUCCCUCCACUAUCUCUCCGUCCUCCAUACUCUUCUUCUCCUCAGUUGCUCGGGUGUUCUCUUUUUACCUCGGCUUCUGUAAAAUCUGGUCAAGGGCUUAUUUUCUUCUCAAUGAAUUGGAGGGUUGAUUUUCGCCGGCUGCCUCUCCCGUUGUUUCAUUAAUCUCUAUUCA